Lathyrus oleraceus (garden pea) is the source of this 1879-nucleotide long non-coding RNA. RefSeq lists it as uncharacterized. The record is from RefSeq and is a predicted model, not a curated record. The transcript has 2 exons. NCBI's taxonomy places the organism in Eukaryota, Viridiplantae, Streptophyta, Magnoliopsida, Fabales, Fabaceae.
AUGUAGGGGGUAUGAAGUAAAACUUUCGGGCAAUCUGGUCACAGGUUUUCCAAGCCCAAAUCCAGAGCAAGCAACAACCAGAAAAGCCAAUGUCACACGAAACGUGGUUCUCACCGUAAUAAUCUGAAGCGCAGUUCUUCUUCACACUCGAAGUCUCCUUCCUGUUCAGCCAGGAAAAUCGAACCUACCAUCAACAAGUACCGAAGCAUCCAACUGAGUUUGAAUUCAAUAAUCGCUUCUUGCAAACGCGGCUUCAUAACUUCAAACAACACCACAAACUCCCUAAGAUUGCAUCGAUUCGCCUUGGUUCAAAUCCGGUUGGUCAAGCUUGAUUCGAAUUCGCGGUAUGAAAUUGACAAGAGGUCGUAGAUGCUCGAAAAUAACUGAGCGCGAAUCGUGUGUACCGAUGCGAGAUUCCGGCGCGAUGGUUUUUCUGCUCCGUCUACGGCGACGACUUUUAUCGGUAAGCUUCUCCCUUCGUCUCCUGCGUUUCAGUUCUUCUUCUUCAAUGUUCUUCCGCGUUUGUGUCGCAUUUUCAGAACUCAAUGGUGCCGCCUCAAUUCGGUUCAACGUUCUAUCCCAAACAAAUGUCAAAGGUGUGAAAUUGAAACUGAAUAUGGACUGAAGUGAAAUCGAAGAUUUUCUUCUAUUCCACGUCGUUCUUCUGCGUCUGCUCCUCUCUUUUCUGUUGGACUCUGAUUUGAAUCAAGAAAUUGGAUUUCUUCAUAUUUUGAUGUAUUCUUUUUUUGUUCUGAGAUUUGUACCGAACAAUGUAGAGUGAAUCGUGAUUGAAGAAUGAAAUGAAAUGAAGAAUAGUGAAGAUGGAAAAAAACUCCUCUGCAUCUAUGAAGGAUUUUCAUUCGUUUUUCUGUUGGUUUUGCAGAGAGAGUGAAAUGGAGAAGUUAAAGAUGAAGGUUGAAGAAGCUCCCUCAGAAUGAGACUUGAAGUGUUUAUAUAAAGCCUUUAUCCUAACCGAUUCGGGCAAUGGAUCGGGCAGCAAGGCUUGAAGCUGGAUCUGUUAUACGACGAUGAUGAUUGAUGUUUCCAUCCCCAUAGUUAUUCGCAUGCUACCAAGGGCAAUUGUCAUUGUCGCAUUCUUCUCGCAGCUCACGCAUAUAAAGUGGACAAAGGGAUUAACUUCAGAACUGCAGCCAUAUCAAUCUUCCUUUUGUCGACAUAUAAUACCUCAUUGCUUUAGCGGUCAAAGGUGGAAUGUUCCCUGAAUGAGUCGACUGACGGCAUGAAAAGGCAUAUCCCAGCAGUUGACAUCCAAUGAUUUUCUAACUUUGACUACUACUAGAAUCCCGGUAGAUGCCUCUUUCUUCCCAGUUAAACCAUUGCCUUUUCUCAUUUCUAACUUCACUUUGGUACCUUGUUUAGCAGUCUCAAUGUUUCUGCAUGGAAUAUCAUUUACCUUGCUUGGUCAUGAUGUCGUUAGCUAGGCCUGGAUGAAUUUAAGUAAAGGGUAUGUGAAAGGUUAAAAAUUUAUUUUUGUCAUGCUGCCGGUUGGUUUCUGGACUGGGUUAAAACAUGUUGAUUCCGCAUUUACGAUAAUUAUGUAGGUACAUAUUGGUGGCUUUCACAAAGUGAAGCUAUGUAUAACUUUUAACAGUAUAUUUCCGAAGGAAGCGUUAGAAGAAAAAUGCAAGGCUAGUGAAGGUUAACUUCUGUUAGGAGUUAGUUUAGAAAUUCUGUUAGUGAUUUAUAGUUGGUUAGGAAAGUGUUAGGUGCAAUUAGUGUUCAUGAAGAUGGUUAAUUGUUAUGUUAUGUUAAUAGUUAAUUUUGUUAUGGUUCGAUUAUGAAUUCUGUUAGCUUGUAUAUUAUUUUUGACGACUGUAAAUGAUUGCAAGUAAAGUCCGGUUUGAAACUUUGUUAACAA